GAUUAACGCUGGCGGCGUGCAUAACACAUGCAAGUCGAACGAUGAAACUUAGUAGACUUCUUCGGAAAGACACUAAGCGGAUUAGUGGCGAACGGGUGAGUAACGCGUGAGUAACCUGCCUUACACAAGGGGAUAGCCUUUGGAAACGAAGAAUAAUACCCUAUAAAACUAUAAAAGCACAUGCUAUAAUGGUCAAAGUGAUAGCGGUGUAAGAUGGACUUGCGUCUGAUUAGCUAGUUGGUGAGAUAAAAGCUCACCAAGGCAACGAGCAGUAGCCGGCUUGAGAGAGUGUACAGCCACAUUGAGACUGAGACACGGCCCAGACUGCUACGGGAGGCAGCAGUGGGGAAUUUUGCACAAUGGGGGAAACCCUGAUGCAGCGACGCCGCGUGAUUUAGAAGGCCUUCGGGUUGUAAAAAUCUUUUGUAUAGGAAGAAAAUGACAGUACUAUACGAAUAAGGUCCGGCUAAUUACGUG
Molecule: ribosomal RNA, 477 nt
Filed under: uncultured bacterium
Lineage: Bacteria
Description: partial 16S ribosomal RNA
Rfam family: Bacterial small subunit ribosomal RNA
Source: RNAcentral